Molecule: long non-coding RNA, 551 nt
Filed under: Neodiprion lecontei (redheaded pine sawfly)
Lineage: Eukaryota; Metazoa; Arthropoda; Insecta; Hymenoptera; Diprionidae
Description: uncharacterized LOC124294463
Source: RNAcentral
UCGCGCAUCACCGUCGCGCAGCGUCGUGCACUCUUCCAUCCUUCAUUCUCGAGCUUUCUUGUUCUUUCGCACCGCGUUUCACAGGUCGUUAGAUACCACGGAUCUCUUGAGAAAAUUACAGAAACCCACGUGGCAAGAAAAGUGGAUAUUUGGAAAAGGUUGAGCAGCUGACAGUCAACUGUGUAUUCGAAAUAUACAACAUACGUUUUAGAAAAUGACACGUAAAAGAAAAAGUAACGACUGCUAUUCAGAUAGACAUAAACGUCGACUCGUUGAACAACAAACUAAAUUAAGUAUUAUUAGAAUGAAGCACGUUAAGCACGUAUAGUACGAAAUGUAAAGUCGUGAACCAAACGCUUUUUUUAAAAUAUACAUGAAAAUAAGUAUAGUUUUUUCUCGGUUUAAACUUAUUAUUAUAAUAUUAUAAUAAUUAAAUUAUUUUUAAAUCAAUAAUGCAUAUGAAAAUAUAGGUUAUAAUAAUUAAGCUGAUACAGGGCAGUCUUUUGCUAUACACCAUAUUUACUAGUAUAGUAGUAAUUAUACGUAGUAAC